AGGCGAACUUGCUGAUAUCAUUUCUCAUGCGCUGGAGGUGAACGUCCAGAAAAAGGUUGUCUUUGGUUAGAUGAUCAUCUAUUGUCAUUAAGGCUAGAAGAAUCUUCAAACUAACAGUGAGUUUUUUUCUCAGAGAGCAGCUCUACCAAACAGCAUUUCAUUUUAUUAGCCGUUUUGAAAAAGAAGAAUGCAAAAGAAAAGCUUAUGCUAGCUAUGCAGACUUGUUAGAGCUGUAACUAAUCUCUGAUUUUAACUUUGGAUAUACUAAAGCAAAGGGUGUGACAGUAUUCCUAAUCAAAGGGAAUGCUAAAGGAAGCCAAGAAAAGUUUUAUUAAUGAUCUGUCAUAUGGUUGAAGCUGUAUUUUAACUAUAUAACAACUUGUUUCUUCAUGGGAUUGGAUUCAAGGGAUUGGAUUCAAGAUUCUACGAAGCUAUAGGUUUUGAUCUUUAACUAAAAGAUUAAAAUAACAGCUCUAUUAAAAGGGUAAUUAAAGGAUUAUUUUUGGGAUUUUAAGUUUGAACUGCAAAAGUAAGCAAGCUUGAAAUGACAACCAGAAUUUUCAGGUUUGUGUAAAAAAGAGAUUCUUAGAUUCCGAAAAAGGAUCAUUUUUUAUAUACAAACGUUUUUCUGGUAAUCCUGCUUUCCUAUCAAUAAAUACAAAAUUAGAUCCAGACUGUAGAAAUGGAUUUCUUUCUUAUAAAGCAA
Nematostella vectensis (starlet sea anemone) is the source of this 706-nucleotide long non-coding RNA. RefSeq lists it as uncharacterized. The transcript has 2 exons. The record is from RefSeq and is a predicted model, not a curated record. Lineage: Eukaryota; Metazoa; Cnidaria; Anthozoa; Actiniaria; Edwardsiidae.